UGUUUUUCUGGCACAUAUUUUACCAUAUCAUCUGAAAAACUCCUCAUGACGCCAUAGCACCCAUUGAAAUAGAGUGUUUGGAAAAAAAACGAAAUCUUUUGGUCCAGUGUAGAGGGCGUAGUCAGAAGAAAACGGCAACCAAUAGAAGUAAUACUCAUCAUCACUUCUAUUGGUUUCUGACACGUCCAUCAACCGCCAGCACUCACCCCUCCUCCCUGCGCGUUCACCGACUCGUGAACUUGACCGACCCCGCCCCCAUCAUUCAUGCACACGCGACAAGGCUCAUCAUCACUCGGCUAGUAGCAAGGUAACGAGAGUUAGCAGCAGGCUGAGCUACUUGGAAACUUUGGUGGCUUUUGCAGAGCUACAUGAAGAACUUUGGCUUUUGGAACACUAGAACCAUGUCAGGAUAACAUACUCCCUUGGAUUAUCAUCGGACUCGCAAGACCAGACUCCAACACGGGCUGAAAAUUUGAAAUGGGACCUGACACUCUUGGACACAGAUGUCGGCUACGGCAGCGGCUUCAAAUACGCUUUGGUGACCAUAUUUCUAAUCGAGAGUUGUGCGAACGAGCCAGACAAACCAGCUGGGAGGAGGACGGAAGCACCCCUUCUCCAUCCGCGUUCAGUUGCUAAAUACGGAUCCACCCCGUAGUAAGUAACCUACCAUGUUUACGCACACAUUACUUUGACCAGCAAAGCCCAUGUCUUUCUAGUGGUUUACAAAAAUAUAUCGUUUGCAUGUUUUGCUUUGGUACGUCUCUGUUGUAUGACUCUGGUAAUAGUAGCAAGCACAAGCACAACCUGUUCGCCGCUCCAGCAUUGCAAAAUAGAUUGCCUUGGGUUUUCAAAUGUUUACAUGAUUGUGGGUGUAAUGUUGUUAACUCGCUGAUGUCGUUUUUGAGAAGACGGUAGUUUUGCAUUUGAUAAAUACCACCUAAUGACCAUGACGGCUACACGGCAGAUCUUUAUUGUGAUGGCUACACUGAAUGAUCACAUGGAGAUGCCGGUACAUUAUUUGUUUUACCCUGGUUAUAUUGAAAUGUUCUGCUUUGUCCAUUCCAAUGUGUGGUGUCUUCCAUAGCUGUUCCUUGCUCCCGUUUCACAACAUAUCAAGGCUGCCAAGUAAAUGAAGAAUGAAUCACCGCACACUGGUCAACAGCCGACAGAGUCCUUCCACAACCACAUACUUAUGCCAGUAAAAGCCACAGCUUUUCUCCUCCAAUCCAAGAAGCCUGGACUGCAGUCACCAUCUCAACACACCAACCAAGAGAAAGGCGGAUGGCUCAAUUCAAUAUGGAAAAUUGCACAAUAAAAGUUCCAGGACAAGAAGGCUGCAUACUGUGAACGUCAACCUUCAGGGCACCGUCCUGCGCAGAAAACUUUCUACCCUAAGAGGGAUGGCUGACCGCAGACACUCACAACCAGCACAGACGCCUCCAACCUCAAACUAGGCCCUUCACAGUUGCUGCACUUACCCACCUUCCCAGAGUUUUUGUGUGGUAAUGACAACUGUAAAUAUAGUAUAAAGUAAUGUAUCUAGUGUCAUGUGUAAUACAUUGUUUAAA
Engraulis encrasicolus (European anchovy) is the source of this 1568-nucleotide long non-coding RNA. RefSeq lists it as uncharacterized. The transcript is spliced from 5 exons. NCBI's taxonomy places the organism in Eukaryota, Metazoa, Chordata, Actinopteri, Clupeiformes, Engraulidae. The record is from RefSeq and is a predicted model, not a curated record.